UUCAGUUUGCUUGCAACUGGAGAUGGCGACCGGCGCACGGGUGAGUAACACGUAUCCAACCUGCCGAUAACUCGGGGAUAGCCUUUCGAAAGAAAGAUUAAUACCCGAUGGUAUAAUCAGACCGCAUGGUCUUGUUAUUAAAGAAUUUCGGUUAUCGAUGGGGAUGCGUUCCAUUAGGCAGUUGGUGAGGUAACGGCUCACCAAACCUUCGAUGGAUAGGGGUUCUGAGAGGAAGGUCCCCCACAUUGGAACUGAGACACGGUCCAAACUCCUACGGGAGGCAGCAGUGAGGAAUAUUGGUCAAUGGGCGCAGGCCUGAACCAGCCAAGUAGCGUGAAGGAUGACUGCCCUAUGGGUUGUAAACUUCUUUUAUAUGGGAAUAAAGUUUUCCACGUGUGGAAUUUUGUAUGUACCAUAUGAAUAAGGAUCGGCUAACUCCGUGCCAGCAGCCGCGGUAAUACGGAGGAUCCGAGCGUUAUCCGGAUUUAUUGGGUUUAAAGGGAGCGUAGGUGGACAGUUAAGUCAGUUGUGAAAGUUUGCGGCUCAACCGUAAAAUUGCAGUUGAUACUGGCUGUCUUGAGUACAGUAGAGGUGGGCGGAAUUCGUGGUGUAGCGGUGAAAUGCUUAGAUAUCACGAAGAACUCCGAUUGCGAAGGCAGCUCACUGGACUGCAACUGACACUGAUGCUCGAAAGUGUGGGUAUCAAACAGGAUUAGAUACCCUGGUAGUCCACACAGUAAACGAUGAAUACUCGCUGUUUGCGAUAUACAGUAAGCGGCCAAGCGAAAGCAUUAAGUAUUCCACCUGGGGAGUACGCCGGCAACGGUGAAACUCAAAGGAAUUGACGGGGGCCCGCACAAGCGGAGGAACAUGUGGUUUAAUUCGAUGAUACGCGAGGAACCUUACCCGGGCUUAAAUUGCAUUUGAAUAUAUUGGAAACAGUAUAGCCGUAAGGCAAAUGUGAAGGUGCUGCAUGGUUGUCGUCAGCUCGUGCCGUGAGGUGUCGGCUUAAGUGCCAUAACGAGCGCAACCCUUAUCUUUAGUUACUAACAGGUCAUGCUGAGGACUCUAGAGAGACUGCCGUCGUAAGAUGUGAGGAAGGUGGGGAUGACGUCAAAUCAGCACGGCCCUUACGUCCGGGGCUACACACGUGUUACAAUGGGGGGUACAGAAGGCAGCUACCUGGUGACAGGAUGCUAAUCCCAAAAGCCUCUCUCAGUUCGGAUCGAAGUCUGCAACCCGACUUCGUGAAGCUGGAUUCGCUAGUAAUCGCGCAUCAGCCAUGGCGCGGUGAAUACGUUCCCGGGCCUUGUACACACCGCCCGUCAAGCCAUGAAAGCCGGGGGUACCUGAAGUA
RNAcentral lists this ribosomal RNA (1357 nucleotides) under Bacteroides thetaiotaomicron. RNAcentral's name for it is "bacterial SSU rRNA". It matches the Rfam family "Bacterial small subunit ribosomal RNA", at positions 70 to 1428 of the family's 1533-position model. Lineage: Bacteria; Pseudomonadati; Bacteroidota; Bacteroidia; Bacteroidales; Bacteroidaceae. The record is from RNAcentral.